This 1224-nucleotide long non-coding RNA is filed under the name Capsicum annuum. Its description in RNAcentral is "long non-coding RNA (CANN_LNC008247)". The record is from RNAcentral. Lineage: Eukaryota; Viridiplantae; Streptophyta; Magnoliopsida; Solanales; Solanaceae.
GGCAGUGGUCAAGUAUUGAAUCUUCUAGAUAUCCCUUUUGCAUCUCCAAUAAGGAAUGGCAUUUCAAUUAUCAUUUAGGUUCAGAGACGCACACAAGGAUUACAAAGAGUCUAACAGGACUUAUUUUUUGGAAUAGCAGCUCAUUUGUUCGAUACACAAAGUACUUUCUUCUUGUAUAUUUUCCAUAAAAAAUGGUACUACUAAUUAAUAUAGUUGCUCAGCUGCCUGCUAGAAGAUUUUUCCCCCCCUUUUUCCUUAGGUGGACAUCAUGAGAAAAUGAUAUAGAAAGGAGAUUCCAACAUUUAACAAGAAGUUUCAUAGGUUUUAUGGUUUGAUCUGAAGUUAAUGAUAGGGAGCAUGCAAGCUUGAAGUUAAAGAUGUAAUUAUGGUCUCUUUUAAACAAAUGAUGGGUAGGUGCAGGCGUAGCAGAGUUUGGUGUGCAAUGUAGAGCUCUCUGCUAUUAAACAUAAAUGCUAAAGUUGCUUAGUGCUAACAAUAAAGUUAUUUUACAUAGUUUUCAUUUCAAGUUUCUCUUUAUAUUUUUUUUGAUACAAGUUUAUUAUCUUUUAGAUUUUGUGUAUCGGUGGUAUCUGUGUCAGUUUGUAUGUAGCUCGGCUAAUUAACAAGUGUAUUGCACUAAGUAAUUCUAUCCACCUAGAAUUUGAUGGACAAAAAGAAACCAGUGCUUUUUUUAAUCUUGUCAUUUGAACCUUCUGAUGUUUGCAUUGCCUUAAACUGUCCAACUCCUUCCAAGUCGUGAUCACUAAUUUCACACUCUUGGUUUAGUGGGAUUAUGAGUAUGUGUAAUCUAUUCUCCUCAAUUUUAGUGUGCCCAUGCUUAAUGAUUUCUCUAAAAUAUUUUUACAAGUAUGUAUGCACGGGCAUAAAUAUCUAGUUUAUAUAAAAGCGACCACAAGUGGUCGCUUUUCUAUUAAAAAAAUAGAAAAUUUUUUUUUUUAAAAGGCCACUUGUGGUCGCUUUUUAUUAAAAAAUAAUAAAAUAAAAUACCAUGCAAAACAACCAUUUGAGGUUUUUCCUACGAAGGUUUUUCCUUUGGAUUCUAAUUGACAAGAAAAAUUGCAAGUAAUCAAAUUACUUGGGGAUUUUAUCGUAUUAUUCCUAUGAAAAUUCUCAGGUAAUUAACACUUAUUUUGUAGUGAAAGAUAAAAAUUUAUUCUAAAAUGUGACUCCAUUUUUGUACUUUUCAAACCUUUAAAACAAACU